GUAGGGGGCAAGCGUUGUCCGGAAUUAUUGGGCGUAAAGCGCGCGCAGGCGGUCUCUUAAGUCCGAUGUGAAAGCCCACGGCUCAACCGUGGAGGGUCAUUGGAAACUGGGGGACUUGAGUGUAGGAGAGGAAAGUGGAAUUCCAUGUGUAGCGGUGAAAUGCGUAGAUAUGUGGAGGAACACCAGUGGCGAAGGCGACUUUCUGGCCUACAACUGACGCUGAGGUGCGAAAGCGUGGGGAGCAAACAGGGAUUAGAUACCCUGGUAGUCCACGCCGUAAACGAUGAGUGCUAGGUGUUAGGGGUUUCGAUGCCCCUUAGUGCCGAGGUUAACACAUUAAGCACUCCGCCUGGGGAGUACGACCGCAAGGUUG
Molecule: ribosomal RNA, 373 nt
Filed under: uncultured organism
Description: partial 16S ribosomal RNA
Rfam family: Bacterial small subunit ribosomal RNA
Source: RNAcentral